RNAcentral lists this ribosomal RNA (88 nucleotides) under Bacillus anthracis (anthrax bacterium). The record is from RNAcentral. Lineage: Bacteria; Bacillati; Bacillota; Bacilli; Caryophanales; Bacillaceae. RNAcentral also lists the same sequence under 27 other names.
CCGUUCCCAUACCGAACACGGAAGUUAAGCUCUCUAGCGCCGAUGGUAGUUGGGACCUUGUCCCUGUGAGAGUAGGACGUCGCCAAGC